CCUACGGGAGGCAGCAGUGAGGAAUAUUGGUCAAUGGACGAGAGUCUGAACCAGCCAAGUAGCGUGAAGGAUGACUGCCCUAUGGGUUGUAAACUUCUUUUAUAUGGGAAUAAAAUGUUCCACGUGUGGGAUUUUGUAUGUACCAUAUGAAUAAGGAUCGGCUAACUCCGUGCCAGCAGCCGCGGUAAUACGGAGGAUCCGAGCGUUAUCCGGAUUUAUUGGGUUUAAAGGGGGCGUAGGUGGAUUGUUAAGUCAGUUGUGAAAGUUUGCGGCUCAACCGUAAAAUUGCAGUUGAAACUGGCAGUCUUGAGUACAGUAGAGGUGGGCGGAAUUCGUGGUGUAGCGGUGAAAUGCUUAGAUAUCACGAAGAACUCCGAUUGCGAAGGCAGUUCACUGGACUGCAACUGACAUUGAUGCUCGAAAGUGUGGGUAUCAAACAGGAUUAGAUACCCCUGUAGUC
RNAcentral lists this ribosomal RNA (460 nucleotides) under uncultured bacterium. RNAcentral's name for it is "partial 16S ribosomal RNA". It matches the Rfam family "Bacterial small subunit ribosomal RNA", at positions 338 to 795 of the family's 1533-position model. The record is from RNAcentral.